Molecule: ribosomal RNA, 441 nt
Filed under: uncultured bacterium
Lineage: Bacteria
Description: partial 16S ribosomal RNA
Rfam family: Bacterial small subunit ribosomal RNA
Source: RNAcentral
CCUACGGGCGGCAGCAGUGGGGAAUAUUGCGCAAUGGGGGAAACCCUGACGCAGCAACGCCGCGUGAGUGAGGAAGUAUCUCGGUAUGUAAAGCUCUAUCAGCGGGGAAGAAAGAGGACGGUACCCGACUAAGAAGCCCCGGCUAACUACGUGCCAGCAGCCGCGGUAAUACGUAGGGGGCGAGCGUUAUCCGGAUUUACUGGGUGUAAAGGGAGCGUAGACGGCAGGGCAAGUCAGAUGUGAAAACCCGGGGCUCAACCCCGGGAGUGCAUUUGAAACUGUCCAGCUGGAGUGCAGGAGAGGUAAGCGGAAUUCCUAGUGUAGCGGUGAAAUGCAUAGAUAUUAGGAGGAACACCAGUGGCGAAGGCGGCUUACUGGACUGUAACUGACACUGAGGCUCGAAAGCGUGGGGAGCAAACAGGAUUAGAUACCCGUGUAGUC